GGAGGAGUGCGGCGAAUGGCAAGCCAGCGCCCUGCUAAGGCGUAACCGUCUCAACAGCGGUUUGUGGGUUCAAGUCCCACCUCCUCCGCCA
This 91-nucleotide transfer RNA is filed under the name Candidatus Nealsoniibacteriota bacterium. Its description in RNAcentral is "Candidatus Nealsonbacteria bacterium tRNA-Ser". It matches the Rfam family "tRNA". From Rfam's summary of the family: Transfer RNA (tRNA) molecules are approximately 80 nucleotides in length. Lineage: Bacteria; Candidatus Nealsoniibacteriota. The record is from RNAcentral.